Maylandia zebra (zebra mbuna) is the source of this 2444-nucleotide non-coding RNA. NCBI's taxonomy places the organism in Eukaryota, Metazoa, Chordata, Actinopteri, Cichliformes, Cichlidae. The record is from RefSeq and is a predicted model, not a curated record.
GGUCGUUACACCUGCAGACAGUUCAAAACAGCAACAGGACCACAAGAAGGUCCAGACUUUGAGAUUGAUCUGUCUGUUAUUAACAGUGAAAAUGUGAAAACGACAAAAUCAACAACAGUGAAGUUCACCACAAAAACAUCAUCGACAACAAAAUCCACAACAUCAACACCGUUAGACGAGACAUCAAAUGAUCCAGCAGCAGUUCAGUCAUGGUUUAUCAUCGUUCCUGUGGGUUUAGCAGCACUGUUAGUUGUGGUCAUCAUCAUAUGGAAGAAAAGUAAAGGAAACAAAACACAACAGAGCGACAACACUGCUGAAGCCGAUGAUGAAGUUUCCUACGCCACCAUCAGCUUCACAAAGAAAACCAAGAAUAAAGACCGGCCCUGUGUCGAUGAUGAUGGUGACACUAUAACCUACAGCACUGUGAAAGCCUUCUCUCCACCUGCUGGAGUUUCCACUGAUUCCAGCGACGUCUAUUCCACCAUCAACAAAUAACCACCAUGCAGCAAGCACUUUUUUGAAAGUUUAACUCAAGUCAGUACAGAGAAGGUAGUUUAUUUAGCCGCUGAAUUAAGUCAUGUGAGAUAUUUUUAAAUAAAUAACUUACCUGUUGUUUUCUUAAGCACAUUAGUAGAUAUAAAUGUUCCCAUCCCUGAAUUUUUAAAAUUUUAUAUACCUUAAACAUAUUCUCAUGAUUGUCUAUGACAGUAUUACAUUACACACCGAGCACGAUAGGUUGUUGUGAAAAAGUCAUCUUAAAAAAAGCAAUGUGAAAAAAAUGAAGUGAUGAUGAGCUAGUUUUCAUGUUUCAACAAAAGGAAGAAAUGGAGAGUCUGAGUUCAUCCAGUUCUCACACGCAGGCAGCAGCAGGGAGAAUUUCGUGGUUUGAUCCACGACUCGAAGCUGCAUCAUGUUCACACAUUCCAGGAUGUCAGUGAGGCAGUUUGAGUGCUUGUUAGCAGAGCUGGGGCUUCAUCUGAGAAGGCAUAGAAAUCAUUUUUGAGUAGCCUGAGUCAGAGCAGCCUGUAACUGUGUGUCUGAGGUAAAACAGAAAUUUUACUAUUUCCAUUACUCUGCAUAAUCAGUAUAUUUGCAUUUUGAGCUUUGACCGCACUUGUUUUCAAAUGCAGUCGUCUGAUUGGUCACAUCCGUUUAUCCGGUCCCAAAAAUCAGGAAAAAAAAAUCGGGCUUGGUUCUAAAAAUUGAAUGCUGCGAAAUGAAAUGAUUAUAAAAGCUGUAGUUUCUGAUUUUUAAUUUUACAGUUAAAUGCAACACACACAGAUCAAAAUGACUCAUUGUUUUAACCUUCCUGUCGUGUUCGGGUCAAAUCUGACCAUUUACAGAUUUCAAAACUCAUAAAUUGUGUUUUACAUCCGAUUGCCUCGAGUCCUUAUGACAUCCUCCACACUUUGCACUUGAACAUAUAAAAGUGAUGAGCACCUCUUGAAUUUUGAGUCUUUUAAUCAACUUUGUUAUAUCUGUGGUGUAGCAAAUGAAUGGGAAUCCACCCCCACCCGUCCCUUUGGCCUCAGACCUCCUGAAUGGGCCACUGAAUGACAAAAUGAAAGACCCACUUUUACGACUUACUGAACAACCCACUGACCUACCCACUGAACUGAAUUUGGUGGUGAACAAUGUUUCUUAUGUUAAUUUAAGAGCUAUUAAAACUGUCCGGUCAAUUUUGGCUGGGAACAUUAAAGUAAGGGGUUGGGUGAACACAACUGGAGGGUUAAUUUUGUCAUUUAUAUAUUUAAUUUUUAUCUCUCCUCCUUUGUACUUGAGCUUUGAGCUCAGUUCAAAAGAUAAUUACAGACUGAUGUUAUGCUCCAUAUUACAACUUCAGUAUUUUCUGCAACUGCUUCUCUUUCUGUUGCCUGUAUUAUAAUAAGAAUGAACUAAAAAUAAACAGAAAAAUCUAAGUAGGGCGAGAGGCAGGGUACACCAUGGACAGCUCACCAGUCUAUCACAGGGUGUUCCUACUAUAUGAUUUCAAAUUGUAUUAAAAAUGAACAAAUAAAACAAAAUGAUCUGUAAUGGUGUAAAGAGUUUUGAUCUCUUUCACAUGUGGACAAGCAUCACCACGGACACUGUUUUCAAAAAUAAACCGUCAAGAAUAGUUGCAACUAAUUGUCUUCACACAUUUAACUUCCUCUAUUCUAUUAUUGAUCAGUUUCCACUGUUGCACAGUCCUUUAAAAGAACAACAAGGCAAUCUGCAAAAUAUAUUAAAUAUCAACUUAAAGCAUGUUGGUGUGUUUUUAUCACUCAUUUAAUAUCUAUGUUAAGAGUGAGAAGGAGUUAAUGAUGCUUAAAAGCAAUGAACUGAAUUCAUUCACCACGAGGAGAGAAAAGAAGUUAUGUGUUGCUAUGAGGAAGUGAGCAGAAAGUUGAUGCUGUAUUCAUCUCUGAGACUGUCUCAUUUGUGAGAUUACACUGAAAGCACGA